This 465-nucleotide ribosomal RNA is filed under the name uncultured bacterium. RNAcentral's name for it is "bacterial SSU rRNA". It matches the Rfam family "Bacterial small subunit ribosomal RNA", at positions 338 to 795 of the family's 1533-position model. The record is from RNAcentral.
CCUACGGGUGGCACCAGUGGGGAAUAUUGCACAAUGGGCGCAAGCCUGAUGCAGCCAUGCCGCGUGUAUGAAGAAGGCCUUCGGGUUGUAAAGUACUUUUAGCGGGGAGGAAGGUGUUGUGGUUAAUAACCGCAGCAAUUGACGUUACCCGCAGAAGAAGCACCGGCUAACUCCGUGCCAGCAGCCGCGGUAAUACGGAGGGUGCAAGCGUUAAUCGGAAUUACUGGGCGUAAAGCGCACGCAGGCGGUCUGUCAAGUCGGAUGUGAAAUCCCCGGGCUCAACCUGGGAACUGCAUUCGAAACUGGCAGGCUAGAGUCUUGUAGAGGGGGGUAGAAUUCCAGGUGUAGCGGUGAAAUGCGUAGAGAUCUGGAGGAAUACCGGUGGCGAAGGCGGCCCCCUGGACAAAGACUGACGCUCAGGUGCGAAAGCGUGGGGAGCAAACAGGAUUAGAUACCCCUGUAGUC